This 260-nucleotide ribosomal RNA is filed under the name uncultured bacterium. Its description in RNAcentral is "partial 16S ribosomal RNA". It matches the Rfam family "Bacterial small subunit ribosomal RNA", at positions 28 to 271 of the family's 1533-position model. The record is from RNAcentral.
GACGAACGCUGGCGGCGUGCCUCAGACAUGCAAGUCGAACGCGAAAGGUUCCUUCGGGAACCCGGUAGAGUGGCGCACGGGUGAGUAACACGUGGGUAAUUUGCCUUCGGGUGGGGAAUAACAGUCGGAAACGGCUGCUAAUACCGCAUAAUGCAGCGGCAUCAUAAGAUGACAGUUGUUAAAGCGGGGGAUCGUAAGACCUCGCGCCUGAAGAGAAGCCCGCGGCGGAUUAGGUAGUUGGUGAGGUAAUGGCUCACCAA